AUUGAACGCUGGCGGCAUGCCUUACACAUGCAAGUCGAACGGUAACGCGGGGCAACCUGGCGACGAGUGGCGAACGGGUGAGUAAUACAUCGGAACGUGCCCAGUAGUGGGGGAUAGCCCGGCGAAAGCCGGAUUAAUACCGCAUACGACCUACGGGUGAAAGCAGGGGAUCGCAAGACCUUGCGCUAUUGGAGCGGCCGAUGUCAGAUUAGGUUGUUGGUGGGGUAAAAGCCUACCAAGCCGACGAUCUGUAGCUGGUCUGAGAGGACGACCAGCCACACUGGGACUGAGACACGGCCCAGACUCCUACGGGAGGCAGCAGUGGGGAAUUUUGGACAAUGGGCGCAAGCCUGAUCCAGCCAUGCCGCGUGCGGGAAGAAGGCCUUCGGGUUGUAAACCGCUUUGUCAGGGAAGAAAC
Molecule: ribosomal RNA, 418 nt
Filed under: uncultured bacterium
Lineage: Bacteria
Description: bacterial SSU rRNA
Rfam family: Bacterial small subunit ribosomal RNA
Source: RNAcentral